RNAcentral lists this ribosomal RNA (95 nucleotides) under Salmonella enterica subsp. enterica serovar Enteritidis. Lineage: Bacteria; Pseudomonadati; Pseudomonadota; Gammaproteobacteria; Enterobacterales; Enterobacteriaceae. The record is from RNAcentral.
UUCCCACCUGACCCCAUGCCGAACUCAGAAGUGAAACGCCGUAGCGCCGAUGGUAGUGUGGGGUCUCCCCAUGCGAGAGUAGGGAACUGCCAGGC